UCAGGCGAUACCUUCUAUGUUCAGUGCGAGAGACGAGAAAAACUUUUCUCUUUUCUUCAUUGAACCUUUUCUUCAUCAAAUCUGCUUAGAUUCUAGAAAUUCUAGUCUCCGUUUCAACAAAUCAAAACCCAGGUUCUAGAAAUCUUAUAACCGAUUCAUUAGUUGAAAUCUUCCUAAACCCUAAUUCUAGAAAAUCAAUUUUUUCCCAGAAAUCUAAAAUUAAAUCAUUCAAUGGGAUUAUCAACAGAAGUUUGUGGAUUAUCAUCAGCUUGGAUCAACUGCAAUUGGGUUAAAGACUAAAGGAGUAGUUCUUGCUGUCGAGAAGCGUAUCACUUCACCAUUGCUGAGGAGAAAGUAGGAUCUGAUUGUUACUGGACCGUUCCCGUCAGAGUCGUUCGUGGACUGAAGUGUCCUAGCAGCUACGGAUUUCCUUUUUCUUAAUGUAUAGAUGGAACUUAUUUCUAAAGUACGGAACCCAUUUAUUGUGGAGUACAAAGACUCCUGGGUAUAGGGUUGCUACGUGUGUAUCAUCAUUGGUUAUUGUGAGGGAGGAGACAUGGGUGAAGAUAUAAAAAGAGCUAACGGUGUCCACUUUUCUGAAGAGAAACUCUGUAAGUGGCUUGUGCAACUCCUAAUGGCUCUGGAUUACUUUCACAGAAAUCAUGUUCUUCAUCGUGAUGUCAAGUGCUCGAAUAUAUUCUUGACGAAGGAUUAGGACAUACGUCUAGGUCGCGGGAACUCCCAGCUAUAUGUGCCCUGAGCUUCUUGCUGAUAUUCCUUACGGUUCAAAGUCAGAUAUUUGGUAUUUAGGUAAACAAUCCUUUAAUAUUAGUUUGAUUGUAAACGUUGCCGUUAGUCAUAUAAAGCAGACCUAGUGUUUGGAAUGCUAAAGACUUCUCCGAAUAUAACAAUAUAAGGUUAGGGUUUUCAUAGUUUGAAAUUCAGAAACUUGCGUUUAUAACAUUUGGAAUUUUGCAUAAGUUGUUUAAUAUUG
This is a long non-coding RNA of Papaver somniferum (opium poppy), 994 nucleotides long. RefSeq lists it as uncharacterized. The transcript has 8 exons. The record is from RefSeq and is a predicted model, not a curated record. Lineage: Eukaryota; Viridiplantae; Streptophyta; Magnoliopsida; Ranunculales; Papaveraceae.